UACGAAGGGAGCUAGCGUUGUUCGGAAUCACUGGGCGUAAAGCGCACGUAGGCGGAUGUGUCAGUCAGGGGUGAAAUCCCGGAGCUCAACUUCGGAACUGCCUUUGAUACAGCACGUCUUGAGUCCGAUAGAGGUGGGUGGAAUUCCUAGUGUAGAGGUGAAAUUCGUAGAUAUUAGGAAGAACACCGGUGGCGAAGGCGGCCCCACUGGAUCGGUACUGACGCUGAGGUGCGAAAGCGUGGGGAGCAAACAGG
This 254-nucleotide ribosomal RNA is filed under the name uncultured bacterium. Its description in RNAcentral is "partial 16S ribosomal RNA". It matches the Rfam family "Bacterial small subunit ribosomal RNA", at positions 524 to 776 of the family's 1533-position model. The record is from RNAcentral.